Molecule: ribosomal RNA, 497 nt
Filed under: uncultured bacterium
Lineage: Bacteria
Description: partial 16S ribosomal RNA
Rfam family: Bacterial small subunit ribosomal RNA
Source: RNAcentral
GAUGAACGCUGGCGGCGUCCCUAAUACAUGCAAGUCGAGCGAACGGACGAGAAGCUUGCUUCUCUGAUGUUAGCGGCGGACGGGUGAGUAACACGUGGAUAACCUACCUAUAAGACUGGGAUAACUUCGGGAAACCGGAGCUAAUACCGGAUAAUAUUUUGAACCGCAUGGUUCAAAAGUAAAAGACGGUCUUGCUGUCACUUAUAGAUGGAUCCGCGCUGCAUUAGCUAGUUGGUAAGGUAACGGCUUACCAAGGCAACGAUGCAUAGCCGACCUGAGAGGGUGAUCGGCCACACUGGAACUGAGACACGGUCCAGACUCCUACGGGAGGCAGCAGUAGGGAAUCUUCCGCAAUGGGCGAAAGCCUGACGGAGCAACGCCGCGUGAGUGAUGAAGGUCUUCGGAUCGUAAAACUCUGUUAUUAGGGAAGAACAUAUGUGUAAGUAACUGUGCACAUCUUGACGGUACCUAAUCAGAAAGCCACGGCUAACUACGUG